This 449-nucleotide ribosomal RNA is filed under the name uncultured bacterium. Its description in RNAcentral is "partial 16S ribosomal RNA". It matches the Rfam family "Bacterial small subunit ribosomal RNA", at positions 330 to 795 of the family's 1533-position model. The record is from RNAcentral.
CCCAGACUCCUACGGGAGGCAGCAGUGGGGGAUAUUGCACAAUGGGGGGAACCCUGAUGCAGCGACGCCGCGUGGGUGAAGGAGCGUUUCGGCGCGUAAAGCCCUGUCGGCAGGGAAGAAGGAGGACGGUACCUGACUAAGAAGCCCCGGCUAACUACGUGCCAGCAGCCGCGGUAAUACGUAGGGGGCAAGCGUUAUCCGGAUUUACUGGGUGUAAAGGGGGCGCAGACGGCAGCGCAAGCCAGGAGUGAAAGCCCGGGGCCCAACCCCGGGACUGCUCUUGGAACUGCGCGGCUGGAGUGCAGGAGGGGCAGGCGGAAUUCCUGGUGUAGCGGUGAAAUGCGUAGAUAUCAGGAGGAACACCGGUGGCGAAGGCGGCCUGCUGGACUGCGACUGACGUUGAGGCCCGAAAGCGUGGGGAGCAAACAGGAUUAGAUACCCUGGUAACA